GUGCGUGUAGAUUAAUUAGUGUUAGAUUGUAAGGCUGUUAACCUUAAGGAGGUGUAUGUACCCGCGAACG
This 70-nucleotide transfer RNA is filed under the name Artyfechinostomum sufrartyfex. RNAcentral describes it as "tRNA-Asn". Lineage: Eukaryota; Metazoa; Platyhelminthes; Trematoda; Plagiorchiida; Echinostomatidae. The record is from RNAcentral. RNAcentral also lists the same sequence under 1 other name.